GUGGCCACACCCCCAGGCUGGGCCAUCACCGGCACACCUGCUUUCCAUCAGGGCGAUUACCUGAAGGACUAUUUAACCCCGCGCUGACGGAUGCUCCAUGCCACUUCAUUAAUCACCUCUCUGUGAUUUCGAUCCGGCGUCCUGUAUCUGCCACCUGCCUGUCCUCCUGCUCGACUGGACCACCCGGUGCAUCAUCUGGCCUCAUCACUGACUCCACCAAUUCCCUUUCCACGGACUUUCACACUCCCCUCCCGAGUCCCACAGUCCCACUCCGGUCGUAAGCCUACUACUCAAACCCUGUCUAGUUGUGUUUCCCUGUUUUCCCGGCUCACUAGUAAUUUUCUCCCCUUUCUGUUGCAGCCUCCCACGGUCCCGAUUUCAGCUUCCUCACGUCAUUUGUUUCCCUUGGUUUUUCAGUUCCUCGUUUGCUUCUCUGGUUUUCCUGGGUUACUUUUUGUUAAUAUAAUAAAGUGCUUUUUCCUGCUCGCA
Oreochromis aureus is the source of this 489-nucleotide long non-coding RNA. RefSeq lists it as uncharacterized. Lineage: Eukaryota; Metazoa; Chordata; Actinopteri; Cichliformes; Cichlidae. The record is from RefSeq and is a predicted model, not a curated record. The transcript has 2 exons.